This 1606-nucleotide long non-coding RNA is filed under the name Anas platyrhynchos (mallard). RNAcentral's name for it is "lncRNA (ENSAPLG00020015537.1)". Lineage: Eukaryota; Metazoa; Chordata; Aves; Anseriformes; Anatidae. The record is from RNAcentral.
CUUGGGAUGCUGCGAGCUGUGGAGGUGGGGGGCUUAUUCCCUUUCUCUGUGGCCCUCUGUGGGCCCCCCCCCCCCCCCCCACCCCCACAGCUGAGCUGGGUCCCUGCGUUUUUGCAGCUGUUUGGAAGGUACCUGCUGGAGCAGCAGCGCACAGACCUGAUGCCGACCUGCCUAUAGGUGGUGUCACAUGAGGUGCCUGAGGAGGACAAGCAGUGGGUCUCCUUGCUGAAUGCAGGGGGGGAGGACCCCAUUUGUCCCCUUUCCUGCCAUGUCCCACACUUUGUCAUCUUGGCAGGGAGAUGAAGUGAUGCCUGCUGUUUGGCAGAAGCUACUUGAGGGGCCAGUCCUCAUGACAUGCUGCUAUCCCCACUCUGUUGCUGUGAUGAUACUGUUCAUCUGCCCCAUGAGACAGAACUACCAAUCACACAGCCUCCCAAAAACCCCACAGAGCCCCCUCCAGGGCCCCUCAGUGCCCUGUCUGUGCCUGUAGAUCCUUGAUGGAGAGGGGGGAGGAGAUUUUCAGCAUGCCUUGGAUGACAAAGAAGCUCCUCAAUGAGAUUUGCCUGCUGCUGCAAAACAAUACCAUACGUGCGCACUUUGGGAUGACCGAGGACUACGAAAUCCUCCAGCUCAGCCUCAUGCAGACCCUGAGCCCCGAGGACCCCAUCCCCGCCGUGCUACAGGACGUGGAGUGCCUGAAGAGAUGCAUCAGGAACACCAACUUCCACCUGCUCUGGAUCGCACUCAAAGGGCUGGUGGCGAUGCUGGGGAGGCCCAAGAUGGGGCUAACGGGGAUUAUCCUGCUGCCCGACGUCCUGAAAACCCUGCGGUUCGGCAACCCCCACAUCACGGCGGCGGCGCUGGCGGUGUGCUGCAGGGUCCUGCGCGCCCUGAUGAACAAGUCGGCCAGCAUCACUUCCCUGUGGCUGGUCGAUCUGCUCACGCCUUACUUGGACAACGUAAGGGGGGGGGGGCGAGGCUCCUGCGGCACCCACCCCGUGCCACGGCUGGGCGGGCGAGGAUCACUCAGCCUCCGUCCUCCUCUUCCUCUUCCAGGAGGCCGACAUGGUGCGGGAGAAUGCCAUGAAGCUCUUCAGUGCGUGCAUGGAGCGCGUGCUGUGGAAGCACCGCAGAAAGAUGUGGAAGAAAGUGCACAAUGUCCUGCUGACCCUCUACCUCCGCAUGAGCGAGGAGAACCCAAGCGUGGCGCCCAUGGGGUGGGGGGGGCUCGCGGCAGGGCCGGAGGCAGGCGGUGAGGAGCCGGUGCCAAUUCCCUGCCUCCGCUGCCCCGCAGGCUGCCCAGGAAGCCCUGAGGGCUUGGUCUGAGCUGCUGUGGUGGGAUGAGCUGCAAGUGGUGGCACACAUGAACCAGACCCUGGGGAUCAGAACACGCCUGCCUGAUCCUUCGUGAGCUGCCCCCUGCUUGUCCUCCCCCUGCCCCCACAAUGGCCCCGGGGCCUCCCCGUGCCCUCCCUGGGGCGGAGGCUGACGGGCGGCUUCUGAUCGUAGGGCUCACGGCAGAACAUCACCGGGACCAGAGUGAAGAGAAAGUGUACGAAAUAAUUGCAAGUGAGUGAGGGGGGACGGGGUGGAGGCCAGGCCUCGG